CACACACACACACAAAGAAACAUUGAGAGUAUUAAGUGUGUAGAAGGAUGUAGACACACACGGCACGGAGUCCCGUCAUUCGUGAAUAUAUGGGAUCAAAAGGGGCCAGGACGAGCCCGAAAACAAAACAACCGAAACGCUGGCGGUUUUUUCUGUUGCACAGCGUCGUUCGUGGCCGAGACACACUUCCACAUUCCAGAACACGCAACAUCUAAAAAGGCACCAAAGAAAAAGGUCGAAUUCAUUAAGGUUCAUCGUCAUUGUGUGCAACAUUCACCUUUAUACGAGCCAGAUGAUCACCACGCCGAAAAUAGACAUACUGUUCACGAUCCUCGAGAACCUGAACAAACGUCUUCCGGGCGAAUCCCUUUCUUGCAACAAUGUCAAAUGACUAGGCAUUUAAAAAAAAAAACAAAAACAAAAUUAGAUAAUAAAAAGGACGAGCACACACACAAAAUAGAGUAGAAUAGUAACCUACAUGUUGUACGAGGGCAUCCUAAAUGUAGGAAUUCCGGCUUUUGGUUCAAGGGCGGUUGGUCCAUUUUGGAGCUGCGAGCAGACGAACGCACAAAAGGAAUGACGGAUUCUUUUCACGUGCUUGGACAGAUGGGACCCAUUCAAAGCCGAAUAAACGGACAAGGAGACACUACCAACACCGACGGAUGCGGAAAAGUCGGCAACGUUAUGAUCAAUUGAAUUGUAAUAGUCAAACAAAACGGAAUAAAUUGAUCGACAUUAUUCAAAGACCCGGUUCGUAUCUUUGACUUUCAUCGCAAAUUGUUCGUCACGCACAAUUCUUUUGCGUUGGCUACUGAUAUCACAAGUCCACAGUUUUCCAUUCAAGGUGCAGCACAUAUGUCGACAUCCAUCACGUGGCAAAAAGGAAUUUUCGCUGACCGGAAUAUUUUAUUUUUGUUUUUAAAAGAAAAUGGCCAAAGCAGAUGGUAACGAGCCAAUAUGCCACGUCUUGGGUUUUUCUUCUUCUCUCAAAUGGGACAACAAUAAAAAAUAAUAAUAAUAAAAAAAAAGUCAAUGUCGAAAUGGCGGAAAUAAAUUAAACAUUCUUUUGUUUUUUUUUUUUCUUCCGAGUCUUUUGGUUCGUUUCGAAACAGCAAUGUGACCUUUCUCCCUUGGCCGGUGGAUGGAGAGCCAACACACCGUUAUUCCACAUUCUGACUUCAACACACACACACGCUGGCCUUUUGUGUGUAAAAAGAACGAAGAAAACCUUAAACCAUCUUUCAACUCCUCCUUCUCUCCUGCUUUUGCGCUUUUCUUCUCUCUCUCUUUCUCUCUCUGCCCACUUAUCCUUACAAAGGCGCCCAAUGGCCCCUACCUUACCUGGUCGAAAAUGCGGCAAACAACAACCUAACAACCGACCAAAUCAUUUCGGUUGUUUUAUCGCUUGCGGCCACAUUUUUUAAACAAAAUUUAAAUGUUGAAGUAUAGAAAAAAAAAUAAAAAUAAAGAAAUAAGAAAAUAAAUAAAAGAUAGACGUCGAACUCACGUGCCCUACUUUGAGGGCUCCGUCAUUCCACCAUCUUCGGCUUCUUCUACUUUCACGCCCUUUUUUUAAGGUUUUUUCCUUCCUAUCUUCCCAAACGUGUCGGGACUACAUAGACGGCCAUGACCGCAGGUCGACGCGGAAACGGGGCCGAACUCAUCUCUUUAAAAAAGAAAAAAUUGUUAAAAAUACGCGGGGGAGUUAAAAGCCAAUACGAACCGAAUAAUAAAAUAAAAAAUACGGAACUUACGAUGUGAAGACAACUAUAAUGAUAUUUUGUGUGUUAUGCGUUCACGUUGGUACAACAUGACCAAAAAAAAAAAAAAAAAAUUGUUUUUUGUUUUUUGUUUUUUUUUCGAAUUGGUUUCUUCUUCUGCUUGGUUUUAAUAGUGAUUAUAGUAGAAAUUUUAGGUAAUAGUAAUCUUAAGGGAUAAUUUGAUGUACGGGACUGGCGCAUUUGUUAUUGGGACGUCGGUUUUCUGGCGUUGCGCUCAAUAUCGAGGCUGUGACGGCGAUCGGCGUUGCUGCUGCUGCUGCCUUCGUGCGGCAAAUCGGCCACCUCCGCCAGGGCGGAUGUCUCUAUCCCUUGCCAGUAGAAUUCAUUGAGCCCUUCGCUGGCUUCCACCGCUAACGACACAGACAGCUGUUCCGUACUGGCCCCUAAUAGACAAGUGCGCAGAGACAGAAAUGGUCAAUCAACUAACGGCCCAGUUAUAACGGAAUACAGAGAAGAAGAAGAAGAAACACAUGCGCAAUUGCGGUGGACUUGGUGGCCACCCAGCCGGUAAAAAAAAAAUAGAAAAAUAAAUGAAAUAAAUUCAUUUUUGAUUCACCUGAAAUGGAAGAAAAGGAUGGCGGACUGCUGGGUGAUGUGCUGAAUCCUGGAACAGAGGCUGGCAUCAUAGAGGAGGAAGAUGCAGCGUUGAGGGCUGAGGUCGAAGUCAAGACACCCCCCGACCCAUCUUCCCUCUGUUGGGUGAUGAGCCGGCGGCGACUCUGACGUGAACGGCCAAGUUCGACCUGGUGGCGCAACUGCAAAAUCGCAUUCUCCAAGGCCACAUUAAUGCUUUUAAUCGACUCGUAUUUGUGCUCGGCCACCUGGAACAAUAGCCAAAGAGCCAAAGAAGAAAGAAAAAUAAUUAACUGUACGUCUAGCAAAAUAUAAUUUCCACUGGCAAGGGCGAAAACAGGGGGGUCCGGUCAAGGAAAUCAAAUCGACCCCCUGCAGGUUUUGCAAUUUUUCUUCUUCUUCUUCUUCUUAUUUUCUUUUCAAAAUGUGAUGCAUACAAAUAGUCCGCAUACUCUCUAGUAUUGUUUGGAACCGCCCUCGAUUUCUCUCAUUUCUUUCUCCGCCACAACACCACACAUAUAAGGAAUAAUCAGUUCAUCGGUCGAAGUGGUAGAAUGUCCGACCUCGAUUCUUGCCAUCCAACACACGCCGACAACACACACACACACACACACCCAAUAAGAGAAUGGAGAGUCCGCCUGUUUUGUUUUUUUGUUUCUUUCUCCGUGCCCGUUGCGCAUUGUUAUUACUACCACACUCAUUUUUUUGUAACUGGGUACCUGCAUGACUUGCUGGUGUUCUUCCUUGACCAGCUGCAGCAAACGCUUCAGCUCGGAAAUGUCCGUCUCGCGACGAACAGCCGUUGCUUCCAUGUCGGCCAACUUGGACGUUAGCGCCUCAUUUUGCCGCCUCUCCCGUUCCAGUUUCUCCCAAUGCGCUUUCAAUUCCUCUGCGAGAAAUAAAAAAGAAACCCCAAAAAAUUAAAUGUAAAACACGACAUGAAUUGGGAGUAACGGCAAUCAAGACAGAAAAACCACGCGAUACCGAUACGCGCUGCCAAUCGAAGCCGAUCGACCAAACCCAUCCUGCACUACCUAUCCACCUACCUUCCAUAAAGAGAAAGAAAUAAAAUAAAAGGAGGAGGAGGAGAAGAAGAAGGGCGCAACGACCUCGAUUCCGGUAUCAAAAUGGCCAAACAACCACCCAACGAAACAAAGUUAACUUUGCGGUCAAGCCAAUUUCCUAUUUUUGUUUAGUGUUGACCGCACAUCAUUCUUUUAAUUAUACCAUUAUUAUUUCCGUUUUCUUAGUUGGUUCGUAGAAACAAAAAAGGAAGCAAAAAAAAAUAAAACCAGAACAGCUUCUCGUCACGUUCCAGACAUUGACCUCUCUAGAAAUAAUGGACCCGGCCACACGUAACCCAAGCUCCAUUUUUUAAGGAGCCCUUAAAACUAAUAAGAAUUCAGUGCAAAAAAAGAACAAAAUAGAAAAACUGGAACGAAAAAAAAAAGAGUAAAAAUAAAAAGCAGUUUGGAAACCUUUAUAAGCGCGAGUCAUCUCUUCCAUUUCGUACUUCAAAAGGGCCCCCGACGGAUUCAUGAGCUGCUGCUGGAGCAAAUUGGCCGUCUCGCGGGCGGCUAUCAAAUGGUAUUGGGAAUCUUUGAGAUCCUGUUGGAAACGCCUGGACUCGUUGGCCUGCCGCCGCAGGUCGUUCAUUUCGGCUUUGACGGCAAACGACUGGGCGUGAAGGCGAUCGGCUUCGCGUCGCAGGGAACGGGCCUCCUCGCGAGCGGCGAACAAUUCCUGCUCGCGCUGGCCUCUAUCCGCAGACAAAUCCUGCAGCUCUUGGAGCAUCUUCUUGGUGCGCUCUUCGAACUGGAGAACGGCCUGCGCGCGCUCGGCUUCGGCUGCGUUGCGGAGACGGCGCAUCGUGUCGGCAUCUCGCCGGACGGCGGCCAUUUCGUUCUGCGCCUGGACCAAUUGCAAUCGCAUCGUGUGCAAUUCUUCCUCAGCCAAACGGCCUUGUUUGGCUUUGGCCAGCAGACGGCGGUUGCGCUCGGCGUGGACUUCGCGGCGGUGGCGCUCGAAUUGCAAUUGACUUUGCAACAUCAAAACUUGUCCUGAACGAAAUAGAAAAUCACGAGAAAUGAAAAAAAAAAAAAUAAAUAAAAAAUGACAUGAAUCAUAAACGUGGGAGAAAGAGAUACAUCCGCCUUUCACCUUGUGCAAGGUGAAAGCUCUUUAUUCAUCGGAAAAGACCAGUUUUUGAAUUAAAUUUGAUUUUUCUCUCUCUUUCGAACACGUUUUGACGCUUUGUCAAUCGUUACGAAAAAAACCAGUUUCCGGCGAGAAAGAGAAAGCGAGGCACUCGUUUUGUUUGUUUACUCUGUUCUUUUCCCUUCACCCCAUAUCGGCUAAAUAAGGUCACUGCGGAAGUGAACCAACCUUUGAGUAGAGAGACGUCUUCCGUAGCGUUCGGUUUGCCUAGUAGGGUAGUGCUGCGCUCGUGAUUUCGGAAGGCAGCGUCGAUGUAGCGGUCGAGCAGUUCGGAUGGAGCCAAUUGUCUUGGAGAAGCUUCCGCCGGGGCCGGCGGAGGUGGGAAGAGCAGCGAUGGAGGCAAAACGCUGAAGAAGAGAUGUUCGUACGGGGUAGGAGGCCAAAGAUCCUGAUCCGUUUGGGACGCCGUUGAUUGUUGCUGAGCUGUUACGCCACUGGAUGAAGUGGAGGGUUCCUCUUUGCCAUCGCCCUCAGCUACGAUGGCCACGCGUUGAUCGCCAUUAGAAUCCAGCUGAAGCAAAUUGGGGCACGAAUGGCUGCGUUUGCGUAAGCGCAACGCCAACGUCGACGCAGUGGGGCCGAAGGAGCUGGUGCUCUCCACUACCGUGCCAAUACUGCUCCCACUUACGGGACUCCCUUGGUUGGCACUGGCCACUGGAAGACAUUGACUGAAAUAGCGGAGUCGCUUCACACGUUGAACAAAGUCGGAGAAGCGCGUUUGGUCCGGCAUGUGCAGGCCGCCAGACUGGCAAGAAGUAUGGCUUACUACACCGCCACCUGCACCCAAAUUUCCUCCCGUUCCUACACCAUGACCUCCUGCAUUCGGACGCGAUUCAAGGACGUCAUCUCCAUAAUUAUAGUCUUCGUGACUAGCACGGUUGUAUUCUUCUGGCUCACUGUCAUCAUGCCGGCCAUCAUCGAUUUUAUCCUGAAAAUACGCAUGUCUUCUGUAUUAGAAUAAAAGUAGGAAAAUACGGGAAAACUACCUGGAGAAGGCUGUCGGGCCUACUAGGUGGCAGAGCGCAUGGCGUUCCUUCACGUGACUGGAUCCACGAUUGCGAAAGGGCGUGAGUUUCCUUUUCAAAAUAAUCUUUAGACGCGGGCUUGGAUGAAAAUAGCCGACACACUUCGCGAUCUUCGGCACUGAUUUGAUCCUAUUCAAACGAAAACAGAGCUCACAGUUAGACAUAAUGUAAAUACCAAAGAAAACGGGUGAACUAUCAUCACUUUGUCUGUGGAUUUGGUGGCUGUCUGAGCGGGGCUUAGCUGUUCGGCUAAAGUAGAAGGGCUCAUGAGGUUUUUGCGAGGAUCGGCGCUGGGCGCUCCACUUGAAUGCCGCGAUCGCAUUCCGGAGAGAACAGGUCCAAAAUGAGCGAACGAAUUGCUGGCCGGUUCUUGGCCGAUCUUCUGCAAUUUGACUCCGAUGACCAUGCCACGUCGGUCGUGAUCACCAGUGCUAACACCAGCUACACCGCUAGCUCCUCCACUUGCUCCUACCCCGGGAAAUUUAAAAGAGUGAAGGUCUUUCUUCAUGGGUGAUGUCGGUGGAAGGGGCAACGGUGACGCUGUGGGUGUCAUGUUUAACGUCCGAGCAACGGACGAAGAUGGUGGUAUGGACGCCUGUUGUUGCUUGAGAUAACUUUCUAUAGGAUCAGGUUUCGGCGUCACCCGGGCGCUCAGAGGAGCCUUCGUGGUUGAAGGCCCUGGAAGCACCCACUGAGCCGGCCAAGACCAUUCUCCAUUGACGUUCAUGGCUUCAUCAAGCCACGGUGCUGGCUGUGUGGCAUUGGCAAUCGAAGGCUCUACAGCACACUGCGGAUGAUAUUCGAUAAGUUAAGAAGAAAAAAAAAAGAAUUCAAAAAUAAAUGCCAAAAUACCGAAGAAGAAUGAACUAGACUGGAACAAAUCAUAUCUUCUCGGUUGCUCAAAUCUUGGCACUCGAGCAAGGAAUAUUUGGCGCAUUCGGUGACAAUGUCGUGAACGCUCAUCUGCUUCCACCUGCAGUAAGAAGUUUAAUAUAUUUAGACGAUCGCAAGACGUUCAUGCUAUCUGACUCUAAAAUGGUGUACUAACCUGGCAGUUCCAAUUUCAAUGUCUUUGGAUGCGGUGACUAAGAGAGGAUGCAUUCGAACUGUUUCCACCAUGGGCUUGACAGUGUGGCUGAAAAUGGGUAAAUUAUCACGUAGCGAAUAAUGUUGGCGCAGGUAGGAAAGGAAAUUGCACGGAUACAUGCCGUACAAACGGUGGAACAAAGCAUAUAGCGCAAUUUGGAGAUGAAGGACGUAAACUUCAGGCUGUUUGGGUUGAUUUGAGUAGUUCCAAGCGGCUAGCCUCGUGAAACUUUCAAAGAUCUCGUUGAGUAUGGAGCUCUCUAAAUUCGGGAUUAUGGGUAUGAGAGCCGUCAGGACAAGCAGGGCAUUGACCAAGACUACUACACCACCAUCAGUCUUCAAGACUUUGAUUAGGUCCCUCAUGACAUAAUGGGAACUUAUUCUGUGAAGCCAUUGGGGUUGUUUUCUGACCAGAAAUCCCAUAAAAAUGAGUGACGAGAGCCUACUGUUGCUGGAACGAAGAGAUUCUGAUAAUUUGUCAAGCAGGUGCUUAGAAUGGGCUUCUCUGAGGCCAAGGAGGAUCUCCAUUGCUCUCAGAGAACCCUUUGACAUGCUGUAAUCGAAGAGGCCCUGCACAAGCCAUGCUUCUUUUGUGGAGUUGAGGUGAUCGUGAAUAAGACUUUUAAUAUCUUCCACCACUGACAGUUGGUUACUUUCCAAGAGAUUAAAGAAGUCAGCUGGAUCCAAGUGCAUGUAUGGAUCUUCCAUUUCCCUAAACAUGAGAUACUAUUCAUCAAAAAGCACUUGUCAAACAAACAUGAAUGUGUUUUACAUUGAAUAAAUUAAGAUAAACUGAUAAAAAUUCACAAGAGGAUAGACGAAAUUGAUGGCGGGUAAUGAAAAAGAACAUUAUCCACGAGCGAACCCUUGCUUAAAAGUUGAAUAAGCUCUCGCUUUACUUGGUCUCAAUUUGAGUUGCCGCGAUAUUAAGAUGUGCUAACUGAUUGUGAGCUUUAUGCAAAUUGAAUUGAUUACCAAAGAAUACGAAUGUUUACCUCGUUUUAUAGCGCUGAGGAAAUGUACGUCUGCAACGAUCAGAGCGCCAUCUAAUCGUACUGUUAUUUACCACCAUUUUUUACCGCGAAUUUGGCAGCUACUUUGUUGAGUUGUUCGUCAGAAAUAUAAUGAAAAGUCGAAAAAUAACAAGAGUACGACAACGAUGAAUUAUUCAUUGAACUGACUGGUUGAAUUAUUCAUUUUUAAACAUUAGCCAAUUGCUAAAGAGUUUAAAAGGAAUAUUAAUAAAAAUGACCAAAGCAGAAGAGACAGAAUAAACUUUCCAACUGAAUGUGAGGCUACAACAAAAAAACUUUGAACCAAAAGGUAACGUAAAAUAAAACGUGACACAUCACCAUGACCAAUGGUUUCUGAGAUUAUGUUAAGAUUAGCUUUGACAUUUCUGGCUUGCCAUUGUUGUUCUGAAUAUUAUCAAACUGAAAUCCGACGUGAUCGUCUAACAUCUGAUUGAUCGACAACUUCUCGUCACAUCCAAAAGCCUUCUGUCUCACGCUCUCAUUCCACUUGACGUAUAAAGUAUUUGCAAGUUAGACGCCAAAUCUUCUCUAAUAAAGAAGCUCAACCAUAAAAAUAUGAAAAUGGACAGAUGAAACAGGGAGAAACCUAAAAAAUUUCCAUGUAACCGACGACAAUCGUCAUCAGCGGUGCCAAACUCGAAAACUGUAAACUAGAUGCAAAUUUUAGAAGUGACAUAAACAUAACAAGAGCUGUUAGCUAAUGUAGGAAAGAUCAGUUGCAGAUUUGAUUAACUAAAAAAUUCUUGGCAUGUCUUUGGAUCUGAAAAAAAUAUAAACAUUCCAACAGGCGUGAAAGAUAUUAUUUAUAUUCUCAAAAAUUAUGCUCUUUCUCGUUAUUCCUAGAAAUAACUGAUACAUACCUGUGCAGUUCAAUUAGCUUUACGGGCAUUCUAUUUACACACGUUCGAUUGUCACGGGGGGGAAAAAUCUUGAUUUCAUCAAAAUGCUAGGACUUUCACCUUCUGUUUUUCUGUAGACUUCUUUUUGGAUUUCUUCCAGAUUUUUUUCAACCAAUGUUUGGUUUCCCUGGUGGUCUGUAGCUCCUGGGGAACGGCUUCGUCCUGAGGCACUUUGUUUUCCUUAAGUUCACCGUUGAUAUUUGACUUUGGGCAAAUAGGGGGAACAAGUUUAGACGAGUAUUUGCUUUUCUCAGAAAUGUCUCCGUUAGGAGAGGAUUGAGCCAAGUCUUUCUUUUCUGGGUUACUCUCAGUUGUGAGGGCAUCAAGUUUACUCAUUCGUCUAGUAGAAAAAGGGAAAACUGAUGAACAGAAACAAAACAGAUAAAAGUAAAAGCAUUUAAGCGUCAGUAACGUACUCGCUUGGAGGCGCCGAAGGAUCGGCAAGUGACUUUUUCAUCUUAUCCCAAAAAUCCCAGUAGGGAUUUUGGCGUGUAAAAUCAAGACGAGUGUAAUAACGGACAGAUUUCGGCAAAUCACAUUGCUGGUAAAGACAUGGAACGAUUUUCCUACAUCCUCUCUCUGCAAAACAAGAAAUAGUAUAUAAAUAUUAAGAAUUAAAUUAAUGAAUUCAAAAAAUUUGGCGAGAAUAUAGGCAAGACAAACCGGCAACGAUUUGAAAUCAACUCCGUCACAGCUUGAUGUUCAAAUGGUAAUCCUGCUAUAAAAUCUCUUUCUUUAAGGCAUAACUAAAAAUGUAAAAAAAAACAAACAAACAAAACAAACUCAAUACAUCAAAUACAGAAAAUGUUUUAUUAACUUAA
This is a long non-coding RNA of Daphnia magna, 9436 nucleotides long. RefSeq lists it as uncharacterized. Lineage: Eukaryota; Metazoa; Arthropoda; Branchiopoda; Diplostraca; Daphniidae. The record is from RefSeq and is a predicted model, not a curated record. The transcript has 3 exons.